GUCUCCGUAGCCUAAUAGGAUAGGCUCUUGAUUACGAAUUAAGUAUAUGCAGGUUCAAGUCCUGUCGAAGAUUCCA
Molecule: transfer RNA, 76 nt
Filed under: Alkaliphilus sp. B6464
Lineage: Bacteria; Bacillati; Bacillota; Clostridia; Peptostreptococcales; Natronincolaceae
Description: tRNA-Arg
Rfam family: tRNA
About the family: Transfer RNA (tRNA) molecules are approximately 80 nucleotides in length. Their secondary structure includes four short double-helical elements and three loops (D, anti-codon, and T loops).
Source: RNAcentral